GGUAAGGUGGCUGAGUAUUAAGCGGCGGAUUGUAACCCCGAGAAGAAAGGUGGGAAUCCUUUACUUACCA
Molecule: transfer RNA, 70 nt
Filed under: Chikila fulleri (Kuttal caecilian)
Lineage: Eukaryota; Metazoa; Chordata; Amphibia; Gymnophiona; Chikilidae
Description: tRNA-Tyr
Rfam family: tRNA
About the family: Transfer RNA (tRNA) molecules are approximately 80 nucleotides in length. Their secondary structure includes four short double-helical elements and three loops (D, anti-codon, and T loops). Further hydrogen bonds mediate the characteristic L-shaped molecular structure. tRNAs have two regions of fundamental functional importance: the anti-codon, which is responsible for specific mRNA codon recognition, and the 3' end, to which the tRNAs corresponding amino acid is attached (by aminoacyl-tRNA synthetases). tRNAs cope with the degeneracy of the genetic code in two manners: having more than one tRNA (with a specific anti-codon) for a particular amino acid; and 'wobble' base-pairing, i.e. permitting non-standard base-pairing at the 3rd anti-codon position.
Source: RNAcentral